CCCGUAGCAACAUCAGCGGCAAGAGUCCGAGCAGCAACAUGGUAAACGAGGGAUGAGCUAACGGGAGACAGGAAAGAAAGAGUGAGUCAGAGUGCGAAGGACAUGAAUGUUGCCCCGAUUUGCAGUCUGGAAAAGCCGGUUUUACAGAAAACUGCACAGUGUAUGAUGGGCACAGAACAGCUCUAAAAGUCUCCAGAGGACAGACCCAGUGGUGCAGUGCUGUUUAGAAGGGGACACGGAAAAAGACGGAGCGGGAGCAGGAUUUGUCUGCAAGUGAAAUGUCAAGCAGGUUGAGGAAUCAGAAUGAGACCAAAAAUAUUAAGAGAGAAGGCUGCAGAGAAGAAGACAUACUAGUUGAGGAGUUAAAGAGCCAUGCACUGACAGUGCAGUGGUGAGGGAACUCCACUGGAGACCAGAGAAGUGCAAGACAUGGGUCACCUUUAAUUAAACUCUAUUCAAGCGACUGACACCCACAGGAACCUGCUAAACACUAUAACAAAUGACCGUUAUCACUCUGAAGAUGCAAAUGCAGAAAACUGAGCUAAACAGACAUAUCAAGACUUUCAGACAUACGUUUUUGCUGCCUUCAAGUGCACAUGCGAAAUGUUUACUUCUGAGUUGGGCAUUUGUUAUGACAUGAAGCUUUGAAGGUUUAUAUUUAUUUUAUUUUUUUAUUUAUUAUUUAUUGUAUAUUUUUAUUUGACAUCAUUUUCGUUUAUGCAUGGUAUCUAACAAAAAACCUUUCACAUAAAACGUGACUGGUUAACUUUGUGUUUGUUGUCUAUACACUCUUUUGUACAUAAUGCAUUAAUAUUAUUUUUGAAAUACAGCACGGAAAUUAAUAAAAAAUGAACAGUGUAGUCCGAUUACUGAACGAAUGACUCUAACAAGUUGAUUGUUUCAAUUGACUCAAAUGAGUGUAGUUACUAAGAUGCACAUUUUAUAAAAUAUAAAUAAAUAAAUAAAAGAUGUUACUAAUUUUUUUUGUUUAUAGUGGUUAAUUGGAUUGGCACCUCUAAAAACGUAAUUAAAAAGUUUUAAAGGCACAAUAUGUAAGAAUUUUGCCGUAAAAUAUCCAAAAACCACUUGGCCAGUGUUAUAUAUUUUGUUCAGCUGAGUACUUACAAUAUCCCAAAUGUUUCCAACUAUUUGUAAAUCAUGAGAAAAAUCACGAUUUUAACCAAGACGUGUCCGGGAGCUGCCUGUCAAUGGCGUCGUACCCGUGGUUACCUUCUGAUUCUGGUUUUCCGAGAGUAGGGCUGUGACGGUAGGCAACCGCGGCACCGCGGUGGUGAAGUUGACACCGCGGUCGUGGAGUGUCACCGGCGGUAGUGUGACAUUAUUUAUAUUAUAUUAUAUUAUAUUAUAUUAUAUAAAAUCUGAUUUGCUUAUCCUGUAAGUUUGUGAAUAAAAAUGAA
Megalobrama amblycephala (Wuchang bream) is the source of this 1418-nucleotide long non-coding RNA. RefSeq lists it as uncharacterized. The transcript has 3 exons. NCBI's taxonomy places the organism in Eukaryota, Metazoa, Chordata, Actinopteri, Cypriniformes, Xenocyprididae. The record is from RefSeq and is a predicted model, not a curated record.